RNAcentral lists this ribosomal RNA (486 nucleotides) under uncultured bacterium. RNAcentral's name for it is "bacterial SSU rRNA". It matches the Rfam family "Bacterial small subunit ribosomal RNA", at positions 30 to 522 of the family's 1533-position model. The record is from RNAcentral.
UGAACGCUGGCGGCAUGCCUUACACAUGCAAGUCGAACGGUAACAGGUUAAGCUGACGAGUGGCGAACGGGUGAGUAAUAUAUCGGAACGUGCCCAGUCGUGGGGGAUAACGUAGCGAAAGCUACGCUAAUACCGCAUACGAUCUAUGGAUGAAAGCGGGGGAUCGCAAGACCUCGCGCGAUUGGAGCGGCCGAUAUCAGAUUAGCUAGUUGGUGAGGUAAAGGCUCACCAAGGCGACGAUCUGUAGCUGGUCUGAGAGGACGACCAGCCACACUGGAACUGAGACACGGUCCAGACUCCUACGGGAGGCAGCAGUGGGGAAUUUUGGACAAUGGGCGAAAGCCUGAUCCAGCAAUGCCGCGUGCAGGACGAAGGCCUUCGGUUGUAAAGCACUUUGUCCGGAAGAAAUCCUUGGGUUAAUACCUCGGGGGUAGUGACGGUACCGGAAGAUAAGCACCGGCUAACUACGUGCCAGCAGCCGCGGUA